GGAUUCAUGCAUCAGUUGGUAGAGCAUCGCACUGGUAACGAGGAGGUCAUGGGUUCAUCUCCUGUUGAAGCCU
This is a non-coding RNA of Desmophyllum pertusum, 73 nucleotides long. NCBI's taxonomy places the organism in Eukaryota, Metazoa, Cnidaria, Anthozoa, Scleractinia, Caryophylliidae. The record is from the annotation of a GenBank genome assembly.